This 1330-nucleotide unclassified non-coding RNA is filed under the name Hevea brasiliensis (rubber tree). Lineage: Eukaryota; Viridiplantae; Streptophyta; Magnoliopsida; Malpighiales; Euphorbiaceae. The record is from RNAcentral.
UUUCUUCUUCUUCCAGAAAGUGGUAAUUACUUCUUCAUGUUCAGUGCCUCUCAUUGUUAGCGCACGCAUUGACUCUAAAUUUGUCCAAUAAUAAAUUUUAUGCCUCGUCAAUUUAUCGAGUUGCAUGGACUUUUGCUUAGCUAUCCUUAUUUAAUUUUUGAGGACAUAUGAGGCCUAUGCGUUUGAGAAGUCAUUUGUUGCUUUGCAUUUUAACAUUUCAAUUUUGAGGAAAAGGAGCUAAGAGUGAAAUCUAACCCAAUUACGGCUUUUGUUAAUUAAAUUUUGUUCUACGUACGGGCAAUUGGGGUUGUAUUUCGGCAAGGUUUUCUUUAACUGUUUUUAUUUGUUUGUUAAAUGGAAAAAGGUGUGCAUCAAUCUCCUCUCAUGAUUCUUUCUUGGAUUGCAAAUUUGCAAUACUUAUAGGAACUUGCUUCUCUUCCAGUGCUUGAACAAAUAAAAUAUGUACAAUCUUGCUUAAUGGAACCUCUCAUGUAGAAAAUGAAAUUUGAUUAUUAAUUUCUUGGUUGUUGAGAUUGACAAUUUUCCUCGAGCCAACUACUUUUUUUUUGGAGAGGAGCUAAACUGCAUACUAUAUAGUACUGGGUUCUGGUUUUUUCUGCGAUGAAUAUGUCUCCAACUUAUCUUCCUAACUGCUUUUUUGAAGUCUUUUAUAAACUGUAAUUUCUUGAGUUUACGUGUUUCCCAAGAGGAGCAUGUGGUCUUGUUCAAGCAUUUGUGGCAUUUACCAAUCAUAUAUUAGUUUGUUGACGAUUUACCAAUCAUGUAUUAGUUUGUUGACAAUGGUGUCUCGCUUAAUCAGUAUAUGAGGUAUGGACUUCUAGGUGAGUCUGUUUUGGUGCUUUUUCUCCUUAGUGUUUAUAAUUUUUCCAAGAAAUCUAAAAUUCAACCGUUCCAAGUAUAUUCUGUUCUGUUUUUGCAUAUAGGGAUAACUUAACUGCUUUACAUGGCUGAAGUUUCAUCAGCUAACAUUAGGGAUGCUAUUGUUACUGUCAGUUAUAUAUAUAAAUGAAGUAUGUAAUAGAAGGGAAAUAUUAUGUUUAGUUAUUUUGUCAAUGCUUGUUUUUGUACAACAAUGGCAGCUAUUAAGUUUUAGGCUGAUGUUAUAGUUCAACAGGAAAUCAUUGCCAAACCAAUUUUGGUGGAUCGAGUCUUCUGCUUUAAAUGCACGGAAUUUCAGAAUACACUUUGGUGGAAAUUGGAAGGCCAGUUCUCAGAGGCUGGGGGAUAAGAUGAUUUGUACCGCUUACAUGGAUAACAUAGAUGAUUCAGAUCCCAGGUUCUUUAGAACGAGGCAAAAUAGUGGUGCUCG